Molecule: long non-coding RNA, 641 nt
Organism: Mustela erminea (ermine)
Lineage: Eukaryota; Metazoa; Chordata; Mammalia; Carnivora; Mustelidae
Exons: 4
Source: RefSeq, a predicted model, not a curated record
AGUUUUGGUAAGGUAGAAGAAAUAUUUUAAAAAAGCAGAACUCUGAGGUUAAAAUUAUGGUCAGAAUGCUUCACUACUCCAUGUGUGGAGGUAGUGGGAACACUAAGCCAACUAGUGUUAAACACUACCGUUGACUUCUCAGUUUUACUAAUUGGUGGCUGACCUGAACUUAGCACAUUCUGUGUUAGAUUGCUCAACCUGUCUGCUCUGCAGAAAGCCGCCUCCUUAACCACUACUUGCUUUCUUUUUUCGAGUUAGUCUACACCCAAAGCCACCGUCAGAUGUCACAGGGAUGAGACUUCACAAGGAGUCCUUGAUGCUCUGUGGUUGUUACUUCUCACCUUUCGGGGGUUCUGAAGAAACACUGUGAAGUUGAUUCCUGACUGCUUGGGCCUUUUCUAUUCACUAGGGCCCAUAAGGCUCCUGAGCCAGGGAAGUGUACCCGGGAGGAUGACAGCAUUGAUUAAUGGUUCUUACAAUCCCCAGCUCCCACAUACUUCAUAUUUCCUCCUUCUGGUGAAAAAAUACAAAAGCUCUAAUGCAUUUCAACUUGUCCAAAUGGGCCCUCAGUGUGGAAGAUGACUUUAGUUUCUCAAACAGAGAGAAAGGAUGGGGGCAGUGGGAGAGAAUCUUCCAGACAG